UACAGAGGGUGCGAGCGUUAAUCGGAAUUACUGGGCGUAAAGGGUGCGUAGGUGGUUAGUUAAGUUAGAUGUGAAAUCCCUGGGCUUAACCUAGGAAUUGCAUUUAAGACUGAUUGGCUAGAGUUUGGGAGAGGGAAGUGGAAUUUCCGGUGUAGCGGUGAAAUGCGUAGAUAUCGGAAGGAACAUCAGUGGCGAAGGCGACUUCCUGGCCCGAUACUGACACUGAGGCACGAAAGCGUGGGGAGCGAACAGG
RNAcentral lists this ribosomal RNA (253 nucleotides) under uncultured bacterium. RNAcentral describes it as "partial 16S ribosomal RNA". It matches the Rfam family "Bacterial small subunit ribosomal RNA", at positions 524 to 776 of the family's 1533-position model. The record is from RNAcentral.